Molecule: ribosomal RNA, 305 nt
Filed under: uncultured bacterium
Lineage: Bacteria
Description: bacterial SSU rRNA
Rfam family: Bacterial small subunit ribosomal RNA
Source: RNAcentral
UCUUCCUACGGGACGCAGCAGUGAGGAAUAUUGGUCAAUGGGCGGGAGCCUGAACCAGCCAAGUCGCGUGAGGGAAGAAGGUACUGAGUAUUGUAAACCUCUUUUGCCAGGGGACAAAGGCGGCCACGGGUGGCCGUAAGAGGGUACCUGGAGAAAAAGCAUCGGCUAACUCCGUGCCAGCAGCCGCGGUAAUACGGAGGGUGCAAGCGUUACUCGGAAUCACUGGGCGUAAAGAGUGCGUAGGCGGGGUAAUAAGUCAGAUGUGAAAUCCUGUAGCUUAACUACAGAACUGCAUUUGAAACUGU